Molecule: non-coding RNA, 121 nt
Filed under: Pteridomonas danica
Lineage: Eukaryota; Dictyochophyceae; Pedinellales
Source: RNAcentral
AAAAAAAAAAAAAAAAAAAAAAAAAAAAAAAUGACAAAGACAUACACUACCAUCCAUAGAUCUAAUGUCAAAUAUGGAGAAUCGAUCUCUUUUUUUUUCUGUUCUUUUUUUUUCUUUUUUU